This 466-nucleotide ribosomal RNA is filed under the name uncultured bacterium. RNAcentral describes it as "partial 16S ribosomal RNA". It matches the Rfam family "Bacterial small subunit ribosomal RNA", at positions 28 to 505 of the family's 1533-position model. The record is from RNAcentral.
GACGAACGCUGGCGGCGUGCUUAACACAUGCAAGUCGAACGGAAAGGCCCUGCUUUUGUGGGGUGCUCGAGUGGCGAACGGGUGAGUAACACGUGAGUAACCUGCCCUUGACUUUGGGAUAACUUCAGGAAACUGGGGCUAAUACCGGAUAGGAGCUCCUGCUGCAUGGUGGGGGUUGGAAAGUUUCGGCGGUUGGGGAUGGACUCGCGGCUUAUCAGCUUGUUGGUGGGGUAGUGGCUUACCAAGGCUUUGACGGGUAGCCGGCCUGAGAGGGUGACCGGCCACAUUGGGAAUGGGAUACGGCCGAGACGCCUACGGGAGGCAGCAGUGGGGAAUAUUGCACAAUGGGCGGAUGCAUGAUGCAGCAACGCCGCGUGCGGGAUGACGGCCUUCGGGUUGUAAACCGCUUUCGCAUGUGACGAAGCGUGAGUGACGGUAAUGGGUAAAGAAGCACCGGCUAACUACG